This 497-nucleotide ribosomal RNA is filed under the name uncultured bacterium. RNAcentral's name for it is "partial 16S ribosomal RNA". It matches the Rfam family "Bacterial small subunit ribosomal RNA", at positions 28 to 507 of the family's 1533-position model. The record is from RNAcentral.
GACGAACGCUGGCGGCGUGCCUAAUACAUGCAAGUUGAGCGAUGAAGAUUGGUGCUUGCCCCAAUUUCAAGAGCAGCGAACGGGUGAGUAACGCGUGGAGAAUCUACCUUUGAGCGGGGGACAACAUCUGGAAACGAAUGCUAAUACCGCAUAACAACUUUAAACAUAAGUUUCAAGUUUGAAAGAUGCAAUUGCAUCCCUCAAAGGUGAUCCCGCGGUGGAUUAGGCAGUUGGGGAGGUAAAGGCCCACCCAGGCGAAGAUACAUAGCCGGACCGGGAGGGGGGUUGGGCAAAAUGGGACUGGGAAACGGCCCAAACCCCCACGGGGAGGCGCAGGAGGGAAAUUUCCGCAAUGGAGGAAAGGCUUGACGGGGAACGGCGCGUGGGGGGAGAAGGUUUUCGGGAUGGAAAACUCCUGUGGUAGGGGAGGAAGAAGGGUGGAGGGGACAGCUCAUGAAGUGACGGUAACUAACCAGAAAGGGACGGCUAACUACGUG